ACGCACGCUGGCGGCGUGCUUCACACAUGCAAGUCGCACGGAAAGGCUCCAGCUUGCUGGAGUACUCGAGUGGCGAACGGGUGAGUAACACGUGGGUAAUCUGCCCUGCACUCUGGGAUAAGCCUGGGAAACUGGGUCUAAUACUGGAUAUGACCUUUCUCCUUAUGGGGUUUGGUGGAAAGUUUUUCGGUGUAGGAUGAGCCCGCGGCCUAUCAGCUUGUUGGUGGGGUGAUGGCCUACCAAGGCGACGACGGGUAGCCGGCCUGAGAGGGUGAUCGGCCACAUUGGGACUGAGAUACGGCCCAGACUCCUACGGGAGGCAGCAGUGGGGAAUAUUGCACAAUGGGCGGAAGCCUGAUGCAGCGACGCCGCGUGAGGGAUGACGGCCUUCGGGUUGUAAACCUCUUUCAGCAGGGACGAAGCGUAAGUGACGGUACCUGCAGAAGAAGCACCGGCUAACUAUGUG
Molecule: ribosomal RNA, 466 nt
Filed under: uncultured bacterium
Lineage: Bacteria
Description: partial 16S ribosomal RNA
Rfam family: Bacterial small subunit ribosomal RNA
Source: RNAcentral